This 74-nucleotide transfer RNA is filed under the name Sus scrofa (pig). It matches the Rfam family "tRNA". From Rfam's summary of the family: Transfer RNA (tRNA) molecules are approximately 80 nucleotides in length. Their secondary structure includes four short double-helical elements and three loops (D, anti-codon, and T loops). Lineage: Eukaryota; Metazoa; Chordata; Mammalia; Artiodactyla; Suidae. The record is from Rfam by way of RNAcentral.
UCCCUGGUGGCCUAGCAAGAUAAGGGUCUGGCAUUGUGACUGCUGGGGCAUGGGUUCAAUCCCUAGCCUGGGAA